AGAGAGAGAGAGAGAGAGAGAGAGAGAGAGAGAGAGAAGGUGGCUCAAUCGAUCGAUGGCCGCGAAGCGGCCCGAGGAAAAAAAAUUUGGAGGGUGUUUUUUGUGGUGAAGGAGGCGACGCAAAAGAGGGCGACGCGAACCGACAGAGAGGCGCGAACCGAGGGCGGCGCCGCCGACGGCGAAUCGAGGCCGCCAGUUUUUUUCUGGAUGGGCCGCCUUUGCAGAUAUGCAUGGGAAAAAGACGCAAGAAAACCCGAAAAGGAAAAGGGGGACGCCAAGAAGCGCCCAAGAUCCGAGGAAGGAAUGGGUCGGCGACGGAGCGACGAAGCAACGGCGACAACAACACGGACCGUGUUUGUCGGCGAGGCGGCAAAAAUGUGCGACGACAGAAAGGCCGGCCGGCCGGCGUGCGCGCGCCGGCAGCAACAAGACCCCCCCCCCUCCAAAGGGGUCGCCAAAGUUGCGAGGAACCAGGAUAUAUCUAUGAAAAAACCAGGAUAAAUCCAGGCAUUUGCGAAUCGAAAAACCGGGAUAAAUCGGGGCACGAAAAGGCGUCUUGCUUUUUUG
This 567-nucleotide long non-coding RNA is filed under the name Pandoravirus salinus. RNAcentral describes it as "putative ncRNA". The record is from RNAcentral.